This 29-nucleotide small RNA is filed under the name Bombyx mori (domestic silkworm). RNAcentral describes it as "ovarian small RNA-6479". Lineage: Eukaryota; Metazoa; Arthropoda; Insecta; Lepidoptera; Bombycidae. The record is from RNAcentral.
UAGUGCGUUUUUGAGCACGAUUUGUGUUU